Long non-coding RNA from Tympanuchus pallidicinctus (lesser prairie-chicken), 13494 nucleotides. RefSeq lists it as uncharacterized. The record is from RefSeq and is a predicted model, not a curated record. The transcript has 4 exons. Lineage: Eukaryota; Metazoa; Chordata; Aves; Galliformes; Phasianidae.
CUCUGAGGGAAAAAAAAAAAAAGAAGAAAAAAAGCCAUGAAUGAUUCAUAGAUGCAAGGGGGGAAAAAGACGAAGAGAGAGAGGGAGAGAAAGAGAGAUUAAGAGAGAGAAGCUUCAAAGUGACUGGAGCGGAUUUGAAGUCCUGAGCGUUCCUGUGCUGGGCAGGCCAGCAAUUCACCAGAGAGACCCCGUCAAGCUCCCCCCAUCCUUCGCCCUGGCCUCAUCCCUGCUGCCUCCUCCUCCUCCUCCUCACCGCAACGCAGCCUCCCAGUCGCAGGUUCAAAGUUCAGCAGCAUCUAAUGAUGGGAAGGCCUCCCAAACCCUCUAAAAAUUCGGGCAUUUCAGAACUUGGUUCUGCUGUGACCAGAAUUAAGGAGUAUCCUCUUCCAGAUAAGAGCACUGAAAUUUGCCUGGGAUUUGCACUUGCUCUAGCUGGAAGAGGAAUGGCCAAGCCUGAGUGUCUUACUCCAAGUAGGUAGUUAACUGUUGAACAGAAUCAGCAAUGGCAUCAAUAUACACACCAUGGAAGCUGGUUAAGCUCUGGGAAAAAGAGGGGUUCCAUUCAGAUUAAAAGCUUCUUACCCAUUUGAUCAAGUGAGAACAGAGCCAUGACCACCUCCUCCAUGGCUAAUGCCCUUCCCACCAUACUUUUUUUCUGUUAGUCUGUUCAGUUCAUUAACACAGCAAAGUUCAAUUAGGCAAGUUUAUUUUUGGCCUGAACUUUGCUUGGUAAUUCCUGCUUCUAUUUCAGUCUUGAAAAAGCUUUUGACUCCUAGAGCCUCCUUGUCUUGCCCAAAGGUGUCAGGCUCUUUUUUUUCUAACUUUGUUUGCAAUGGCUUGGAGCAAGAGUGUGUGAAUCUGUUCCUAUUACAGCACCAGUUUAAGAAAUCUCUAUCUACUAGAUAGAUACCUAUGCACCAUAGGGAGAGACAGUCUGGACCCAGAUUAGCUUGUUUUUCCCCCACCCACCUCCUUAAAAUUACAAUGGAAUCUUACAAAUAUUUAAACCUGAAUCCAAUGGGAAGAGAUAAGGGAUUAGAUGGUUCAGGAGCAGUGCUUCCCUCUCCUCUUCCUUCUUGUUCUAUCAUGUGUGGGGUAGGAAGAAUAAAUCCCGCUUCUCUCCUUGGUCUUACACCUUGACCAGCUCUGUGGGGAGCAUGACUGGGUUGUAACGGAAUGGAUGGAAUGAAUGAGUUUGGUGCCAGCUUGGGUGGGGAUUUGAGCAACCUGGUAUAGAGGAAAUGUCCCUGCAUAUGGCAGGGGAGGAAGAAGAUGACCUUUAAGGUCAUUUCCAACACAAACCAUUCUGUAAUCCACAGAAUCAUAGAAUCCCAGAAUUAUAGGAGUUGGAAGGGACCUCUGAAGUCCAAUUCCAUCUGCCUGCUCGAGCAUGUUUGAUGAUUCUAUGAAUGCCCAUGGAGGACAUAGGAGGAGCAGUGGAAUAAAGUCCUCGUUGUCAGCCGUGGUGGAGUUUGCUGACCAUGCUGACAAUUCCUCCUCUUCCCAAAUGUCACUGUCACUGUUGCACUUCUGAGCUGAUGUUUUGGUAUUUGUCUGACUAAAGACUUUCCAACCUCCAACCUGUAGAGGCUUUCUUGGCCUCUACACUGGGACUGAUUAUUUAUUUGUUACCAGCCUCGUGGAGGGCAAGUUUCAUUCUGAACCAUGAAAACCUGCUGUUCAGUAGAGUUCAGGGUCAAUAAUACUAAUUCUCAUCCCAAACACCACUACCAUCAUUGGCAUUAGAUCAGAAAUGCCUGUGUCUUGGAUGAAUACAGUGUUAAAUCUGACUCAUCAGAUCUGGAUUAGAGCACCAACACAUCAUCUUUCAGUCAUUUUGUAUUUUCCUACUGGGCCCUUGUGUCUCCUGCACAAUCCUUCUCUCAUCCCAAUUCCUUCCAUCAUCUUGUCCAGCUGCAGCCAUCCAAGCACCUCACGUAGGCAUCUGUUGGUGGCCAGAAGCAGGCAAGAGGAAGCUGCAAUUAGGAGCUGGAGGUGAAAAUUGCUCAGAGCCAACAAAGCUCACCCUGGCACGUAUGAUUGCACUCCAAAGGUACUUGCACAGAGCAAGCCAGUGAUGAAGAAACAUAGACUACGUAGUUUAAAAAGCUCCCAGCCCAGAGUCAGCAUUUCUACCCUGACCUGCCUCAUGUAUUAUUUAGCACGGACUUGUUGAUGCGCACUUAUAUUUUUUUCCCUGUGGAGUUGAUGAUCUUCCUUCCCCUUAACAGCCUUGCCGCUCUCUCUCUGCACAGACGCCAUCAUCAGUGGGCUGUGGAUGGACCAGGGCUGGGCAAGUGCUCACCACUGGGGUUAAAGAAUGCAGGGUUAGAGGAUGGGCACCAUGGCCAUACCGGCACUGGCAAAGGUAGGGGAAUGAAGUGUGCGGCAGAGAUGGGAGAGGGGUCUAUGAAAGAAAGAGGAGUGGGAGAAGUGCAGUUGGAAGUGAGUGGUGUUAAUGAAAUAUUCAGCAGUGGUGGGCCUAGACGCAUUGCCGAAAUUGCAGAAGCAGAGAUGAUUAAUAUUUAACAGGGUAAGCUGCCACUUGGCUGCUUUCUGCACAUAGAUUCCACCCCCACGUACACACACACCACCUCCCUCCGACUUCCCACCCUCUGGCUCCCCCAAACUCCGUCUUCUGCCACUCUUCUCUGACUCAAGCCAAUGGCUUCUACCACCGUGCUCUGCUUGGGGGAGGUUCUCAGACCCUCCAUGAGGUCUGCACAAGGGAGAUCAGGUCCAAGGGCUGCCUGGUGGGAAAAGUGCCAGGACGGGGGGAAGGUAGUCGAGAGAAAGCACAUCAUUUAUUUUUCAUGUGGAUGGGAGAGCAGGUUGUCCUAUUUAGUCACAUUAGAUGCUCUGUUAACACAACAGGAAGAAAAAAAAAGAAAUGGAAAGGAUGGAUUAAUGCUUGCAGCAGAAGGAGACUGCUCUCUGGUUCUCUGGGCAAACAGGAACUGGUCUUUCAGGGGGUUAAGUGUUUUGGCUCCAGUUGUGUCUCCCACGGGGUGACCCAUGUAGGUGAUGGACAGCUGAGAAAGGGAAUGUGCAAGGCUCUUCAUCAGCUGGUUUGGUGCAGGUGGAAUGGCCCUAGUGUGGACUGAUAUUGGGUAUACAACCACCCACCCCUUCAUCUGCAGGGAUAGGUGAUUCCCUGCAAACUCUCCUCAUGAACAUCUGCACAGUUUCCUUCUGGUCAUUUUGCAAACCCUCCUGAAACUCUUCUCUGCUUGGACACCUCAGGAGAUGUGACAGUGGUUGUACUGUUAGUGUGCUCAACAAGGUGUCGCUGCAUUUUGAGCUUUUUAGAAAUCAGUGUCCUUCCAUCUGCUGCCUUCUGUUGUGCGUUUAGGGAGGUGCUGUUCAAUCUAGGAGUCAUCUCUGUGUUCAGGAUCUUUGACGCCCUUGGUACAGAUAAGUCUUAGCCCAUUUGUGCAACCUCAGUGCUGUAAAUCAACUGAUUUAUUUAAAAAAAAAAAUUACAAGAAUAUUUGUGGUCCAGCUACUUUCUGGGGUCAUUAAUAUGAAAAUGACUUGGAGUAAAUGAGUGUAUUAAGUUGCAGCUGGGACUUGGAAAGAUGUAACAAGUCUGAGUCAAUACAGACGAGAUUUCUGAGAGCAGGCUCGUGUCCCAGGUUCUGCAGAUAUACUCAGUGAGUGAACACAAAUCAUGGGACAGGUACACAGGCUCUGUACAAAUCACAGCUUCUUUAAGAACAAAGUAUGUUGUGGAAAAUCUGGUCUUAUCUAGCUCUGUCCAUGAAAUCAGGGAGGAGUGUCCCACUAGAAAGGAAACCAGAAUGUUUCAGUGAAUUUUGAGAAGCUGAAGAAAACUAAAUGAGGGUAUGAGGAAAAUCAGAGUACGUAUUUUCUUUCUCCCUGUAUGUUGGUCUGUAUCUGAAAUGUUAAAAACACUGAAGCAAGAUCUUGAAGCCUUCUGCUUGGCUUCAGUUCCAGGACCAGUUUUCAGGUAUUUGAGCCAAUUAAGCAUCAUCAUGUAGUCCACUGCCUUCACUCUUCAGCUGAAGGCAGAGCAGCAGCAUACUGGAGGAGCUCUCGCGUGCUUCAGUGAAAUGACCAUCUUUUCCCAUGCAUAUCAGGAUGUGACCCAAAGGAGAGAAUGGAAGGUGCACUGGGGAUGCAGGUAGCAGUUCCAAAAAUGGAAGCAAGGGUUCAUAUCUUACAGAGACAGAAUCAACCACUGGACAGAAAGGAAAUCAUAGACAAUGUGGCUGCUUGAUUAAAUAUACAGUUUAAAGGAAGAGGAGUCAAGGUUGUUGAAGAAAUAGAAUAGGAUGGCCAUUUGCUUGAUGUUCCCCAUGCCUGAUGGCUGUACCCACUCAUCCCUUCUGCUGCCAUGCCAUGGCAAGGAUUAAUGGGCAUGGAUGUAGAACGUGAAAACCGGAUGCAGGCAGAAGCCAGGCCAUCUGUGGCAGGAGGAGGAACCCCUGUUGAACGUCCCAGAACUAGUGAGAACAGACAACUUGAUUUCUAUUGUGUAAGUGGGGAUUUGUCCGCAACGGUACAGUAACAACUAGAAUUAGAAAGGAAGAAAGAGUGAAUUCUUCUUUCAUCCCAAGUGUGUUCCCUCCAGGGCAAAGGUCAAGUGCAUUGUGUGGCCGUGUUUGGAUUCAGAAUAAAAUAAGUGACAAAGGCGAGAACCUGGGGCACGCACAGGGACUGAAUAAAGAGAAGUGUGGGCUAGACACCAGAAACCACUCUCUCACCCUAGGGGUCAUUAACAUGUGCAAUAGGUGACCUCAUGACAUGGUGCGGGGGCAAUAGAGACACUAAUGUGAGUCAUUUAUAUGCUGGCUUGAGUGUAUUCAGCUAUCGAUAACAGCAUUUUUCUGAGCAUAGUGACCAGCUCCUCUGGUAAAAUGGAGAUUGUCCCACUUGCUCAUGCAGUAUGCCAGCAGUUACUCUCAGCUGCUCAGAUGUCUUCCCUGUUUCUCCAUAGGAGAAAAAAGAAAAAACAAAAAUAAAAAAAAAAAGGCAGUGCACAGAUUGUCUCCCUGUUCUGUACAGAAUCUGUAGACAGAGUCCAUUCUGUGCUUUCUAGAGAAAAGGCUAGGCAAAGGCUUCAGCAUAAAGCAUGAAGUGCUGAUGGAGGUGAAGUUUGUCCAAAGCUUUUUUAGAGAGAGAACUUACUGACCUAGUAAAACUCUGGUAAAUGGAGCAGGAUGGAGGCCUCAGAAAACUCAUCUUUUGUUUUGAAGGUUGUAAACCCCUUGCAGGUAAACAUCUGUCUUACCAUUCCUCAGCAUCUCCCUUGCCCACCUCCUUUGCCCUGACUAGCUCAAUGCUGGCUGAUUCGCCUUUAGCUUGUUGUCUGACUUGACACCAAAGUAGGAUGCUGCACUGCACAGACCUCAUUUUCUUGGCUAAGGGUGGUUGAGCUGGCUCCUGGCAUAACAGAAACAGUUGUGGAAGAGGUGAGGGUAGGUGUUGUUUAAUUCAUGAGAGAGUUUCAGGCUGCACUACAUAUAGAAUAAUGUAUACAUAUAGAAACUCUACAGUGGUGCAAGGUCCUUAUGUCCUUAGUCCUAUCCUCCAGCAUCUCCAUCAUCAGCAAGGAAGCUCUCAAAUGCCACCUUUUGGCCUUCUGAAAUAGAUCAGCUGGACCCCACUUUGUCUGAAAUGAAAUCUCCACCAGGGGAUGGCUGGUAUGUCCCUCUUUUCAGCUGGAACAAGGUAAGAGACUGAGCCUCCCUGUUUAAAGAAGUGCUGGUCAGAGAAAUGAGCAUAUACCCUGAAUUGAAGGCUAGCCCCAGCAAUACCCACCUCGUAAGCACACUUUGGGUAUGGAGAAUUUGCAUCGUUGCAGGCAUUUCUGCAAUAAGCCUGCUAGUUUAUCCUAGUUCUGUGAACAACUGUUGCCUGCAUCGUAGUGCCUUCUCUGUGUGCAUGCACAUCUCCCUGCUCCACCACAGUAACAGCUAAUCCCACAGGCCAAUGUAACAAAUUUGGCAGGAAUAUACAGAUCUCAGUGACGCUGUGAUCCUGAACAUUUCAUGGAAAAUAAAGAAACUGAUCUCAUGAGCUUAUUGAACGAGGGUCUGUUGUCUCAGGCCAGCACUCAUCAGGCACCUGAAAAUCUGCCCAGCUGAGGUCCUGAAUGCCCCAAAUGCCUGCCCCUUAAUUAUAUAUAAGAGACUCCUGCCACACAAUGCCAACUCAUUGUGGAGCAAUAUUCAUUUAGCUGGUGGCCCAUCAAGUGUUUGGUGAUCCUCCAGGAUGAAGCACUUGUCCUGUGUGCAGCUUCAGUACAAAAUCAAGUCUUCUCCUCUACUUGCUAAGAAGAAGAUGCAUGAGUGGAGGAAAAUAUUGUGAUGCUGAACAGAAGAGCAACUAUUUUCUGUCCUGUCCUGAGUUUUAGUGCUUAGAGUGAAAUUUACUACCAUAAAACGCAAUGAAGAGCUUCUGUAGUACUAUGACACAGCUUCAGGCUUGACCAAAAGAGUUCCUUAGACUACUGACUGAUUUCAUUUAUUUAUUAGCCAAGGGCUCCUUUGAGGUCCUAUCAUCUCAUUCUCAACUGAAUUUCAGAUAACCUUUCUUCGAGCUUAGACUCUUUGUAGCUGGCCAGUUUUAAAGAUUGGUUUGAGCUGCAGACUUCAGAUUUGAAGCUGGAUCUGGGUUUGGGAUUUUGGUUCUGACCUAUUUCAUUCUGUGAUACAGCUGCUCUCAGAAGACUUGGGAUGUUCUUGGGAAAGUUAAUUUCAAAAUUAUAGGAAUAAAUGAUGUCAGAUGGCUUUACUCACUUGCUUUGGAUCUCCACAAAUACUAGAUCUCUGGACUGUUGAGUGUGGGUUGAAGAAAAUAAAAUUCUGCCCAGCAGUUUCAUCUUUGAUGGUUAUGAUAGAAAUGCAGCCCCAGAGGGGCUUGAUCUUUGCCCUGAUAUCAAGAUUUUUUCACGGUGCAUUGGAAAAGGCUUCUUGGAGGUCUUGAUAGAAACUGUGGAGAAAAGCUAUCAAGAAUUGCCAUACUAACUCCCCCUGCCUCGGCAAAGGUGCUGCAGGGUGAACUGUUUGGAAACAAUUAACGUGCUCUUAUACCAACAUGACCUUUGAGAGUGCCAAGCAUCUUCUAUGGGGCCUGUAACUCAAGCAUUAAUAAUGGAUUACCAAAAGCAACCAGCUGCAAGGGAACCACUUCUCCCUGCUUAGAUAAUUCUCCUCCCAGAGAAAAGCUAUUGAUUUUGAUACUGAUUCCUUCCUCCCUCGUGAAAGGGCUACACCCCACCAUUGCUAUCUGUGACAGUGAGCUCUCUCCUGAUCUACACACACCAUACACAUCAGCCACGUUCCUCUACACCAGCAGUAGAGACACCCCUCCAACACGACCGAGACUGCUGCUAAAAGCAAUGUGCGCUUCUAUUUUCUCACCAGAUGAUUCAGUCAGCUUUGCACUUCAGCAGCUGUUUCCCACUAGUCUGCAACAAGUAGCAUCUCUGAGCACUGUGGAACUGGUUAGACCCACAUCAACUUUGCAGCAUAAAAGCACAAAGAGCACAAAGAGUAUGGAUGAAAAUCAGCUUGGAUGAUGCAAGCUGGAUUGUGCAAGCACCCUCAUCUGCUUGUUCUCUUGUAUCACUUCCUUCAUCCUUUCUGCUCUAAGUCCAUGUUUGUGUUUUACUAUUUGUGUUGGAAGUGGUCCUGGGAAACUGAUCUAACUGGCUGUGUUUGAGCAGAAGGAUUGGACCAGAUGACACAGAGGACCCUUCCCAUCUCAGCCAUACUGUUCCAGUUGCUGGAUUUGAGAUGGAGUUCUGAGUACCUUUAUGACUUGCUAAAGCUACAGUCUCUGCAGGGGAUGGAAGGAAAAAGAGGACCUUGAGCUUGUUUACAUCUUAGUUUUAUGGACAGAACUGAAAACUGGUUUCUGUUUGGUCUUAGGCCAGUCAGAAACAGGAAUCACUUGUAAGUUUCUGUAAACAGAAAUCUUAUUUUUGUCUGUUUUACAGAGGAAAGCAGGGAAGGGAGGAGGAGAAUGGAAGGUAUGCCAUCACAGUGUGUGUGUUUGUCACUUACCUUUACACCCAGUGGUACACAAACUUGUUGGCCACCUUCAACUAUGUUUUAAAUGUGGUUGGUAGAAGUGGUCUGAAAGAUAUAAUGAAAUAAAGCAAUUGGAUGCAGCACCACAAGCCCACCAACAGACUGAGAUAAGGCAAGCCUGCAGCAUGUGUUCAACCUUAAUGAGACACUGGAGAAUCCAGUUGCUGGGUGUGGGGCAGCUUCAACUCUGAGUUCACACUGCACCAGACAUCAGAGAAGCCAACUACAAGAGGCAAAUCUCUGGGGAAUUGGGGUUCAUUAGUAUCUCUGCUUGUGGAGUAACUUGUUUUCUUGGAGCAUCUUUCAUCUCUUUUCGGACACAAGAUGUGGAAACAAAGAGCUGGAUUCAUGGCAGGGCUUACAGUGCUACUACAGUAUGGUGGGAGCAAGGAUCCUCUUCCAGACAGCGUGCUGGAAUCCAGCAGGGACGAUAUCUGAGCUGUGGCUGUGUGGAUGGGUGCUGAGCCCUCAAGCUGGGUGAGGGAGGUGGUACUCAGACUGGAUAGGAAGAGAGGGCUUGUGAAUCAGUCCUGAGAAAUACCUGUAAACCCUCUUUUAUACCAGAAACCUCAAAAUGAGAUGCUGAGAGCAUGAACCUUCUUUCUGAGAAGAAUGGACCAAAACGAACAGCUGAAAUGAGUCCAUGUUGCAGGUAGAAAGGAAGCCCUGGAAUUUGCUGUUCUAAGGUAUAAAAACUAUUUUGACAAAAUAAACAUCCCCCUCCCCUCUGCAAUCUUAUCUGCUGCGAUCAUUCUGCCUCCCGGUGGACCCAUCCUCCACAGACAUGUCUUCAAAAAUGAAUUGUAUUCAAGUUCACUGUGAAGUUUCUUUAUGAUGGUACUGUAAAUGGACCAUAAAGCAACAAACCUAUGACCCUAAAUUCCAGAAUCUGCAAAAACUGCUCUUACUUGGCUCUUGUCCAUCUACUGAAGUGCCCAGCCGCGGGAUACUUGUAGCCAUGAGUACCGGCUCUCCGCAAGCCUGCCUGCUCACCAUGUAGCAGCAGGAUGCAGAGAGCCAGCUCAUGUCUGAAAUCCUUGCCUAGAGUCAGAUGGUAAGAUGGGAAAUCCAAUCAUUUUAUACCGGUCAGUGAGUGAACAUUGCUGAGCAUAUGGGUAAGUCAAUAAUUGGCUUUAAUUAAGUAAAAGUUCUUUCAUUAAUAUCUUUUUAAAUGGAUACGCUACAAAAUCUGCCUGGGGGAAAUCUCAGGGUUAGAAAAGCCUUAUGGUAUAUAUUGCUGCAAUAUAACUGAGUUAGGUUGAGAUACCAGCAGGGUGAGCAUAGGAGGGAAUGGGGGGAAUGUUUGGAAAGGCAGCAUGGAGUGAGACUCAUUAUCUGCUCUGGACUGAAAGGAACAAGAAUAUUAGCUUAACCUAAACCUGAGCAAGUCAAAUAGAUAUUUUUGAAGGUAAAAGUAUGGUCUGUGGAAGUCUUAUGGCUAAACCAGAUACUGAUUACUUAUGCUAUCCAUCUUACAUCACUCAUUGUGUCCUGCAGAUGGUGGAAGCACAGCUGAACCACAACAUUCCCAUCAAGUUCGAUUCAAAGCAUCCCACCCACGAGUUUCACCAUGGGCUGACCACUGACAUCUAUCAUUUGAAGCUACAAAACUUCACCCCCAGGCCCAGCUAACGUGCUUUGGAGGGUGUUGAGAUGGUAAACGCCUUUUCGUCUGAGCCAAGGCAAGAUUUCGGUUCAAUAUCAGCAAGUUGACAUGUGCUCCUGAGUGCCAAUGUCAAACCAAACAGCAAGUACCAUCCAAUCAUGCAUCUUAAGCAUGCAUCAGUGGCAUUUUCAGUCCAGUUCCACAUGAAGCAUAGACACAAGAAGAACAGACAUGUUGGUUUCUUCAGGUGAAAAGACAAGCACUGGAAGGAAGGGCCCUAUCCCCAAAGUGAGCUCAUACUCAGAAAGGUGCCAAGGGUUUGUGUAUUUCUAUGAGCAAUGUCUUCUGUUUUCAGGCUCCAUUUCCCUUCAGAUCCAAGUGGAAAAGGCUGCGUAAUCUUCAGACUGAAGCUUUUUAUGUUUUAAAGAGAAUGGUGUUAUAAAGUGUUGGCGGUCUCUUCCUCAGUAUUGGCUGUGACAGUCCAGGAGUGGAAGGCUUCUGAUUAACACAUUGUGCACGUAACCUGACAUGUUGCCCAGUUUUAAUAUGCUCUUUUAUCAGGUCAUGCUGUCCCUUUGAAGGUUCUUUGCAUAUUGCCAGAGCACAAUAUCUACAAACAACUCCUGCUUCUUCCCUUCUCAGUUACUUACACCCAUGUUGACAAUUUAAAUACUGCAUCGCGUGAUCACCCAUGAGUUUCUCUUUUGACUUGUCUUCUCAAAUUAAAAGCAAAACAAAGCUAAACAGGAGGCUUCUUCAAUGAGACUUACAACUACGGAAACAAUGACCAGCCAAAAUGAUAAAUCUGGCAUCUCCUCAUUCUUUAGCUGACUUUCACUUGCCUGAAUGCUAGGCUGGUGCUCACUGCAAUUUGCAUUACUGUAAGUAAGCAAAAUUCUUGCUUCAACUCAUUUGUUUAGUUCAAUUUCAAAAAUAUGAAUUUAAACAAACCAGGAAUGUUUAUUCCCAAAUGAGAGUUUGCAUAGGGCAAAAUAAUAGUGAGUAACAGUUUGAGCAGCAAUUGGGGCAAUUGUAUGCACCAUCAGAGCAUCUUUGUGGCCAUAGAUCUUCCCUGCAUUUGAGGGGUGACCAUACAGAGAUUUCUGCAUUUUUAUCUCUAUGCAACGGUGUGGACUUGUCUUUUCUUGAUAAAACCCUAAAGACUAAUUUUCACUGAAUAUUAUGGAUCAAGCAAUAUUCUAUUUAUGAACGCUUUGCUUCAGCCAAAUACAAACUGUUGGACUCAGUGAGCCUCAUGGUCUGCAGUGUAGAAAAUAUUAACCUAGCUUCCAAUUUUAUCCUUGUGGAGGUGAGAAGCCUGGGUUUUCACUGCAACUGAUGAAAAAGAACAGUCCCUUAGGCAGGCAGUUGUUUUCGUCCAUCCCGUGCAUCUGAUUCAGGAUGGGUGAAGCAGCUUUGGGCAGCACUCCCUGCUGAUCCAGGAGGAUGCUGGAGUUAUUUUCCUGAGUCACACCCAGUGCUCCUCCUUCAGUUAUCUGCAAAAUUAGUGUUUCUCAUGCCAGCUCCUUUAAAAUGCAGCUGUCCCUCACAAUACUGUUUUUCUCCUGUCAUUUUUUUCACACUAUUUUCUGUCACAUUUGGCAGCUCCUCGUGCCAGGACUAGCACUUCUCAUCCUGGUCAGCUCGUGCAACGAAAGGCUGAGAUCUAAUCAGUGGCCAAGUCACCUGCCUACGAUCCCAAUGCAAAUGCUCUGGAAAACACAGCUGGAGAGUUAAUGAAUUGGCCAAGCCCCACGUCAGAGCAUGCAAGGCUAGAUGUAACUUGUGCUGGUUUUCAUUUCUCUUUUUCCUGGUGCUGCAAGAGAAGGCAAGGCAGAUCCUUUGCGUGCUCCACAAGAUCUUUGCCUCUCCAAGGAUCCCCCAACAAAUCUCAAUAGGCCCUGUAUGCUUCCCCCUUGGGCAGAGGUGGAAGCCAACGUCCUGGCUCAACGCAUCCAAAAAGGAGCAGUCCUACAGCCAGCAACUUCUCCUUCCACCCUUGCCUAGGGCUGACCCUGUAGCAUUGACCACCUCUUCUGUUGCAAGCAGCUAGAUUUUGGCAUGCUCCUGUAAGGAAACCCUUUUUUCUUUUCCUCUUCUUCUUCUCCUGCAUUUUGAUGGGGCUGGAGAUCUCUCGGAGGAAGACGCUCUUCCCUUUUUAUCAAUUAGGAGCACACACGCGCUCUCUCGCUCCCUCUCCCACCCCUACUCUGCUUUCCUCCCAGCUCCCCUUGGCUGCCGAUUUCAGACAAAGAUGUGUGAGUUCUUUGAUCUGCCUGGCAGCCACCGCUGGGGGAUUGGCUUGGAGGUUAAUUACACACAGGCCGUCUCCAGCUGUGGCAGGAGCCAUUCGGCUGGAGAGGGAGCUGUCCCUUCUCCCCCCUCCAGCUACAAACUUCAAGGGGACAGGAGGGCAAGGAAGGUACCACUGAAACCCCUUUUGAUAUGACAAACGGGCUCCUUGCUUGCCUCUCUGGUUCUUGUUUUGUUUGUCUAACUGGUACUUGAAAUAUGGAUGAGCUCUCAGUCCUGAGGGCCCAGCCACUGUCUUAAAACCAACUGGAGUUUUGCUCUCCUGUCUGUCUUUCUUUGCCUGUCCACGUGUCCUUGUCCAGCAGCCCUCUGCCCACAUACCCAUGACUAAUCCCAGCUCUCAAGGAGAAGCAAAACCUGGACCCUGUGUUUGAGCAGCUGUGCAGAGAUGAGGAGCCUCAUCUGCUGGAGGAGAGAUGAGUUGGUGGCUGCUGCCCGGGAGGUUUGCAUUCUGUCAGUCCUUCUCUCUGUGCCUGAAAUACUCAGAGAUUUUCUUCUGUUUAUUCUUCUCUUAAAGCCACUUAAAUCCCUCUGUGCCUCGGUUUUCCAAUCUUCAUAAUAAAAGCAAAAUACGUUUAUCUGCUCCUCAGGGUUGGAUUGAGGCUGAUUGAUUUGCUUGUCAAACAUCCCAAACUAAAUAGUGUGGCACAAGAGAGCUGUUGGUAUAAUCCCUCUGUAUUAGCAAAAUCCCUCUCAAAAGGAUCUUACACAGAUGCUUCAAGGCAGGUAUAGAUGGAUUUCAGAUGCUUUUCAGUGGCUCCUAGGCAUCUCUCUUGGCCUCUGAACUCUCACAUGAUAUUCAAGUGUGGGCUGGGGUCCCCAUGCAGUGAGAUCUGCAGCUGACAACAGCCUGCAUCCUAAGGACAUCACACAACCUAGACUAGAUCUAUCCAGGAGUGCAAACUCAUAUUUAGAUUUGCACUCCCUUCUGUGCAGACUAAGGGAAAAAUUCAAAUGUUUCUCAUUCAAACAGUGUAUCUGUAGUAGUCAAGAACGACAGUCAGUUUGAUUGCAUGUCAGUGGAAGCCAUCAACUAUUUGCAGCAAAACAUGCCUGUCUUGAGGCCUUGCCUGAAGCCAACAUGCUGUUGUGCUCAUCUGGAUUGUGAGCAGAUCUGGGAGCUAAAAGGCAGAAAGCUCACUUGUGCACAACCAUUUUGCUGACUAGUAGAAAUUUGAGUGCAAGGACCUGUGGGUCUGUAGCAGAAAUGCUAAGUGAUGGCCUGAACCAGUGAUUGAGCACCUGGUGGGAAGGCAGGGCCAACCCAGAGGAGCUCAGGUGCAUGCAAUGUACUGGAGUUACCAGAAGGGGUGGAGACAGGAUCCACUCCUUCCCAGUGCUCAUUUAAGGGUUGGCAAUGAGGGUGAGGAUAUCUUGCUGGAGAUUCCUGCUCCUGGAGGCUUUCUGAAGAUAAACAGCCAGAACUGACACUUUGAAGAUGCUCGACAGCUCCAAGGGAUGAGGCUAGAGGAUACAGGCAUACAGCCCCCAGCUGCAGGCAAGAAGGAACUGAUG